GCAUCCAUGGCUGAAUGGUUAAAGCGCCCAACUCAUAAUUGGCAAAUUCGUAGGCCUGCUGGAUGCA
RNAcentral lists this transfer RNA (67 nucleotides) under Allium cepa (onion). Its description in RNAcentral is "tRNA-Met". It matches the Rfam family "tRNA". From Rfam's summary of the family: Transfer RNA (tRNA) molecules are approximately 80 nucleotides in length. Their secondary structure includes four short double-helical elements and three loops (D, anti-codon, and T loops). Further hydrogen bonds mediate the characteristic L-shaped molecular structure. tRNAs have two regions of fundamental functional importance: the anti-codon, which is responsible for specific mRNA codon recognition, and the 3' end, to which the tRNAs corresponding amino acid is attached (by aminoacyl-tRNA synthetases). tRNAs cope with the degeneracy of the genetic code in two manners: having more than one tRNA (with a specific anti-codon) for a particular amino acid; and 'wobble' base-pairing, i.e. permitting non-standard base-pairing at the 3rd anti-codon position. The record is from RNAcentral. Lineage: Eukaryota; Viridiplantae; Streptophyta; Magnoliopsida; Asparagales; Amaryllidaceae.